UUUUCAGGCAACACUAGUAGCACAAUGUGCUACAGGCAAGAAUCACAGCAGAUAUCUGGUGCUGCUGUACAGCCAGGACGAGGGCUUCACAGCGGCACCUUCCAGACAUCUGGAAAACGACACAGCGAGGAGUCUGGACCUGCCACAGGCUCAAAAGUCCAGAGGCAGAGCAGCUCUUAAACAUCAGAAAUCGUCAAUAUAAGUGGUCAGCAGGACUUCG
Carassius auratus (goldfish) is the source of this 220-nucleotide long non-coding RNA. RefSeq lists it as uncharacterized. Lineage: Eukaryota; Metazoa; Chordata; Actinopteri; Cypriniformes; Cyprinidae. The record is from RefSeq and is a predicted model, not a curated record. The transcript has 3 exons.